RNAcentral lists this ribosomal RNA (433 nucleotides) under uncultured bacterium. RNAcentral's name for it is "partial 16S ribosomal RNA". It matches the Rfam family "Bacterial small subunit ribosomal RNA", at positions 29 to 507 of the family's 1533-position model. The record is from RNAcentral.
AACGAACGCUGGCGGCAUGCCUAACACAUGCAAGUCGAACGAGACCUUCGGGUCUAGUGGCGCACGGGUGCGUAACGCGUGGGAACCUGCCCUUAGGUUCGGAAUAACUCCCCGAAAGGGGUGCUAAUAACGGAUAAUGUCUUCGGACCAAAGAUUUAUCGCCUGUGGAUGGGCCCGCGUUGGAUUAGCUAGUUGGUAGGGUAAAAGCCUACCAAGGCGACGAUCCAUAGCUGGUCUGAGAGGAUGAUCAGCCACACUGGGACUGAGACACGGCCCAGACUCCUACGGGAGGCAGCAGUGGGGAAUAUUGGACAAUGGGCGAAAGCCUGAUCCAGCAAUGCCGCGUGAGUGAUGAAGGCCUUAGGGUUGUAAAGCUCUUUUACCCGGGAUGAUAAUGACAGUACCGGGAGAAUAAGCUCCGGCUAACUCCGUG